Molecule: ribosomal RNA, 493 nt
Filed under: uncultured bacterium
Lineage: Bacteria
Description: bacterial SSU rRNA
Rfam family: Bacterial small subunit ribosomal RNA
Source: RNAcentral
GAUGAAACGCUAGCGGCAGGCCUAAUACAUGCAAGUCGUACGGCAACACAGUUGCGAGCAAUCGCAACCGGUGGCGAGUGGCGCACGGGUGAGUAACGCGUAUGUAACCUACCCUUCUCCGGGACAUAACUCCGCGAAAGCGGUGCUAAUAUCCCAUACCAACUCAUCAAGACAUCUUCUUGAGUUGAAAGCAGCAAUGCGGUGAAGGAUGGGCAUGCGUCCCAUUAGCUGGUUGGUGAGGUAAUGGCCCACCAAGGCUACGAUGGGUAGGGGUUCUGAGAGGAAAGCCCCCCACACUGGUACUGAGACACGGACCAGACUCCUACGGGAGGCAGCAGUAAGGAAUAUUGGGCAAUGGUCGAAAGACUGACCCAGCCAUGCCGCGUGCAGGAUGAAGGCCCUAUGGGUUGUAAACUGCUUUUAGCCGGGAAUAAACACCCGUUUUAUAACGGGCCCGAAGGUACCGGCUGAAUAAGCAUCGGCUAACUCCGUG